UGGGGAAUAUUGCACAAUGGGGGAAACCCUGAUGCAGCGACGCCGCGUGAACGAAGAAGGUAUUCGUAUCGUAAAGUUCUGUCCUAUGGGAAGAUAAUGACAGUACCAUAGAAGAAAGCUCCGGCUAAAUACGUGCCAGCAGCCGCGGUAAUACGUAUGGAGCGAGCGUUGUCCGGAAUUAUUGGGCGUAAAGGGUACGCAGGCGGUUUAAUAAGUCGAAUGUUAAAGAUCGGGGCUCAACCCCGUAAAGCAUUGGAAACUGAUAAACUUGAGUAGUGGAGAGGAAAGUGGAAUUCCUCGUGUAGUGGUGAAAUACGUAGAUAUUAGGAGGAAUACCAGUAGCGAAGGCGACUUUCUGGACACAAACUGACGCUGAGGUACGAAAGCGUGGGGAGCAAACAGG
This 403-nucleotide ribosomal RNA is filed under the name bacterium. RNAcentral describes it as "partial 16S ribosomal RNA". It matches the Rfam family "Bacterial small subunit ribosomal RNA", at positions 355 to 776 of the family's 1533-position model. The record is from RNAcentral.